RNAcentral lists this ribosomal RNA (242 nucleotides) under uncultured Streptococcus sp. RNAcentral's name for it is "partial 16S ribosomal RNA". It matches the Rfam family "Bacterial small subunit ribosomal RNA", at positions 1139 to 1382 of the family's 1533-position model. The record is from RNAcentral. Lineage: Bacteria; Bacillati; Bacillota; Bacilli; Lactobacillales; Streptococcaceae.
UCUAGCGAGACUGCCGGUAAUAAACCGGAGGAAGGUGGGAUGACGUCAAUCAUCAUGCCCCUUAUGACCUGGGCUACACACGUGCUACAAUGGUUGGUACAACGAGUUGCGAGUCGGUGACGGCGAGCUAAUCUCUUAAAGCCAAUCUCAGUUCGGAUUGUAGGCUGCAACUCGCCUACAUGAAGUCGGAAUCGCUAGUAAUCGCGGAUCAGCACGCCGCGGUGAAUACGUUCCCGGGCCUU